This 584-nucleotide ribosomal RNA is filed under the name uncultured bacterium. RNAcentral describes it as "partial 16S ribosomal RNA". It matches the Rfam family "Bacterial small subunit ribosomal RNA", at positions 355 to 1375 of the family's 1533-position model. The record is from RNAcentral.
UGGGGAAUUUUGGACAAUGGGCGAAAGCCUGAUCCAGCAAUGCCGCGUGUGUGAAGAAGGCCUUCGGGUUGUAAAGCACUUUUGUCCGGAAAGAAAUCCUUGGCUCUAAUACAGUCGGGGGAUGACGGUACCGGAAGAAUAAGCACCGGCUAACUACGUGCCAGCAGCCGCGGUAAUACGUAGGGUGCAAGCGUUAAUCGGAAUUACUGGGCGUAAAGCGUGCGCAGGCGGUUUGCUAAGACCGAUGUGAAAUCCCCGGGCUCAACCUGGGAACUGCAUUGGUGACUGGCAGGCUAGAGUAUGGCAGAGGGGGGUAGAAUUCCACGUGUAGCAGUGAAAUGCGUAGAGAUGUGGAGGAAUACCGAUGGCGAAGGCACCCCCUGGGCCAAUACUGACGCUCAUGCACGAAAGCGUGGGGAGCAAACAGGAUUAGAUACCCUGGUAGUCCACGCCCUAAACGAUGUCAACUAGUUGUUGGGGAUUCAUUUCCUUAGUAACGUAGCUAACGCGUGAAGUUGACCGCCUGGGGAGUACGGUCGCAAGAUUAAAACUCAAAUGAAUUGACGGGGUCAUAGCUGUUUCCU